GGCUGUAGCUCAGUGGCAGAGUGCUUGCCUAGCAUGCGUGAGGCACUGGGUUUGAUCCUCAGCACCA
This 67-nucleotide transfer RNA is filed under the name Marmota monax (woodchuck). RNAcentral's name for it is "tRNA.Ala". The record is from RNAcentral. Lineage: Eukaryota; Metazoa; Chordata; Mammalia; Rodentia; Sciuridae.